CUCGCCGGGGGAUGCGGCGGCGGCGGGAGCGGCAGCGGCAGCAGCAGCAGCGGCGGCAGCGCGGAGUCCCCUGCGCCCCGCGGCCCGGCCGGGCUGCGGCAGAGGCGGUGGCGCCCCGCGCCUGGUGAGGCCGCCGGGACCGUGCGCGCUGAUUUGUGAGUAAAGAGGGACGAGGGAAAAGAAACAAAACCGCAGACCCAACUUCAGACUCCUGCAUCCCAAAAGAAGCACCAGAUCAGCCAAAAAAGAAGAUGGGCCCCCCGAGCCUCGUGCUGUGCUUGCUGUCCGCAAUGGUAUUCUCCCUGCUGGGUGGAAGCUCAGCCUUUCUGUCGCACCACCGCCUGAAAGGCAGGUUUCAGAGGGACCGCAGGAACAUCCGCCCCAACAUCAUCCUGGUGCUGACAGACGACCAGGACGUGGAGCUGGGUUCCAUGCAGGUGAUGAACAAGACCCGGCGCAUCAUGGAGCAGGGCGGGGCGCACUUCAUCAACGCCUUCGUGACCACGCCUAUGUGCUGCCCCUCGCGCUCCUCUAUCCUCACCGGCAAGUACGUCCAUAACCACAACACCUACACCAACAACGAGAACUGCUCCUCGCCCUCCUGGCAGGCGCAGCACGAGAGCCGCACCUUCGCCGUGUACCUCAAUAGCACCGGCUACCGGACAGCUUUCUUCGGAAAGUAUCUUAAUGAAUACAACGGCUCCUACGUGCCGCCCGGCUGGAAGGAGUGGGUCGGACUUCUUAAAAACUCCCGCUUUUAUAACUACACGCUGUGUCGGAACGGGGUGAAAGAGAAGCAUGGCUCCGACUACUCCAAGGAUUACCUCACAGACCUCAUCACCAACGACAGCGUGAGCUUCUUCCGCACAUCCAAGAAGAUGUACCCGCACAGGCCAGUCCUCAUGGUCAUCAGCCAUGCAGCCCCCCACGGUCCUGAGGAUUCAGCCCCACAAUAUUCACGCCUCUUCCCCAAUGCAUCUCAGCACAUCACGCCGAGCUACAACUAUGCGCCCAACCCGGACAAACACUGGAUCAUGCGCUACACGGGGCCCAUGAAGCCCAUCCACAUGGAAUUCACCAACAUACUCCAGCGGAAGCGCUUGCAGACCCUCAUGUCGGUGGACGACUCCAUGGAGACGAUUUACAACAUGUUGGUUGAGACGGGCGAGCUGGACAACACGUACAUCGUGUACACCGCCGACCACGGCUACCACAUCGGCCAGUUUGGCCUGGUCAAAGGGAAAUCCAUGCCGUACGAGUUUGACAUCAGGGUCCCGUUCUAUGUGAGGGGCCCCAACGUGGAAGCUGGCUCUCUGAAUCCCCACAUCGUCCUCAACAUUGACCUGGCCCCCACCAUCCUGGACAUUGCAGGCCUGGACAUACCCGCGGAUAUGGACGGGAAAUCCAUCCUCAAGCUACUGGACACGGAGCGGCCGGUGAAUCGGUUUCACUUGAAAAAGAAGAUGAGGGUCUGGCGGGACUCUUUCCUGGUGGAGAGAGGCAAACUGCUACACAAGAGAGACAAUGACAAGGUGGACGCCCAGGAGGAGAACUUUCUGCCCAAGUACCAGCGUGUGAAGGACCUGUGUCAACGCGCUGAGUACCAGACGGCGUGUGAGCAGCUGGGACAGAAGUGGCAGUGUGUGGAGGACGCCACGGGGAAGCUGAAGCUGCAUAAGUGCAAGGGCCCCAUGCAACUGGGUAGCAGCAGAGCCCUCUCCAACCUCGUGCCCAAGUACUACGGGCAGGGCAGCGAGGCCUGCACCUGUGACAGCGGGGACUACAAGCUCAGCCUGGCCGGACGCCGGAAAAAGCUCUUCAAGAAGAAGUACAAGGCCAGCUACGCCCGCAAUCGCUCCAUCCGCUCAGUGGCCAUCGAGGUGGACGGCAGGGUGUACCACGUAGGCCUGGGUGAUGCCGCCCAGCCCCGAAACCUCACCAAGCGGCACUGGCCAGGGGCCCCUGAGGACCAAGAUGACAAGGAUGGUGGGGACUUCAGUGGCACCGGAGGCCUUCCCGACUACUCAGCCGCCAACCCCAUUAAAGUGACACAUCGCAGGUGCUACAUCCUGGAGAACGAUACAGUCCAGUGUGACCUGGACCUGUACAAGUCCCUGCAGGCCUGGAAGGACCACAAGCUGCACAUCGACCACGAGAUUGAAACCCUGCAGAACAAAAUUAAGAACCUGAGGGAAGUCCGAGGUCACCUGAAGAAAAAGCGGCCAGAAGAAUGUGACUGUCAUAAAAUCAGCUACCACACCCAGCACAAAGGCCGCCUCAAGCACAAAGGCUCCAGUCUGCAUCCUUUCAGGAAGGGUCUGCAAGAGAAGGACAAGGUGUGGCUGUUGCGGGAGCAGAAGCGCAAGAAGAAACUCCGCAAGCUGCUCAAGCGCCUGCAGAACAACGACACGUGCAGCAUGCCAGGCCUCACGUGCUUCACCCACGACAACCAGCACUGGCAGACGGCGCCUUUCUGGACACUGGGGCCUUUCUGUGCCUGCACCAGCGCCAACAAUAACACGUACUGGUGCAUGAGGACCAUCAACGAGACUCACAAUUUCCUCUUCUGUGAAUUUGCAACUGGCUUCCUAGAGUACUUUGAUCUCAACACAGACCCCUACCAGCUGAUGAAUGCAGUGAACACACUGGACAGGGAUGUCCUCAACCAGCUACAUGUACAGCUCAUGGAGCUGAGGAGCUGCAAGGGUUACAAGCAGUGUAACCCCCGGACUCGAAACAUGGACCUGGGACUUAAAGAUGGAGGAAGCUAUGAGCAAUACAGGCAGUUUCAGCGUCGAAAGUGGCCAGAAAUGAAGAGACCUUCUUCCAAAUCACUGGGACAACUGUGGGAAGGCUGGGAAGGUUAAGAAACAACAGAGGUGGACCUUCAAAAACAUAUAGAGGCAUCACCUGACUGCACAGGCAACAAAAAACCAUGUGGGUGAUUUCCAGCAGACCUAUGCUACUGGCCAGGAGGCCUGAGAAAGCAAGCACUCACUCUCAGUCAACAUGGCAGAUUCUGGAGGAUAACCAGCAGGAGCAGAGAGAACUUCAAGAAGUCCAUUUUUGCCCCUGCUUUUGCUUUGGAUUAUACCUCACCAGCUGCACAAAAUGCAUUUUUUUUCCGUAUCAAAAAGUCACCACUAACCCUCCCCAGAAGCUCACAAAGGAAAACGAAGAGAGUGAGUGAGAUUUCCUUGGAAAUUUCCCCCAAGGGCAAAAGUCAUUGGAAUUUUUAAAUCAUAGGGGAAAAGCAGUCCUGUUCUAAAUCUUCUUAUUCUUUCGGUCACAAAGAAGGAACUAAGAAGCAGGACAGAGGCAACGUGGAGACGCUGAAAACAGUGCAGAGAGUUUGACAAUGAGUCAGUAGCACAAAAGAGAUGACAUUUACCUAGCACUAUAAACCCUGGUUGCCUCUGAAGAAACUGUCUUCACUGUAUAUAUGUGACUAUUUACAUGUAACCAACAUGGGAACUUUUAGGGGAACCUAAUAAGAAAUCCCAAUUUUCAGGAGUGGUAGUGUCAAUAAACGCUCUGUGGCCAGUGUAAAAGAAAAUCCUUCACAGUUGUGGACAUUUCUGUUCCUGUCCAGAUACCGUUUCUCCUAGUAUUUGUUAUGUCCCAGAACUGAUGUUUUUUUUUUUUAAGGUACUGAAAAGUAGUUGAUGUAUGUCCCAAGUUUUGAUGAAACUGUAUUUGUAAAAACAAUUUUGUAUAAGUAUUGUCAUACAGUGUUCAAAACCCCAGCCAAUGACCAGCAGUUGGUAUGAAGAAACCUUUGACAUUUUGUAAAAGGCCAUUUCUUGGGAGUUUUUUGGUGUGUCUGUUUUUUUAAAGUAUUCAAGAUACUACCAGUCAACAUCUUUUUGGAAGAAAAUGCCUUUGGGUUUAGAAGAUUUUCUUAAAAGGGGAGUAGAUGGUUGUAGAAUGACUAAAGUCUACCAUACUUCAAGGGACUACAGGUAAGUCUCAUAGUAUACCAGCUUGGCUACUUCAUUUUUUAAAAGUAUUAGUCAAUUGCAAAGAAAUUCACCUUGGCCAACCCUUCUUUGUAUAUCAGGUAAUCUAACCUGAUACAAGUAGUUGACAGAUUUCGGCUAUCACCAAUCCAACCCAUUUCUCAUUUAACAGAUGACAGAGAUAAUCCCUAAAGCACCCACAUUUGUUUCAAUGCCCCCAACAGGCCAAGGCUCCCUAGCAACUCCCUAGUGGCGUUUUUUAACUUCAGAAACUGUUACCAUUAUUUGAAAUAGACUUCCUUAAUCUUCUUUACCCUUAAUCCAACAGGGAUUAAAAAACAAAACAAAACAAAACUCUUCAGGCUCCAAUUUUAAAUAGAAACCUUUAUUUACAAUGACAUCCAAAAUGGUCAGCAAAGCAGUCACAGCUCACCAUCCCCCAUAAGUCAUUUCAUGUGGUUUCGAUUCUUUGCAGGAUAAAGAAUAAUUUCUUUUUUUUUUUAAAGCAACACAAUGUAAACUUGAUUGAAACUGAAUUCAUUCUCAAGAGUGUAAGUCAAUUCCUGAGAAUUUAAAUAUUGCUCUCAUAUUUCAUUCUUCAAAAUUCCAUAUAUUAGAAAGGAAGAGAGAAAACACCUGCUCGGUUAUUAACAGUGUGCCCUUGGAGUUGAAAACAAUUCUUGUUCCUCUGAUUAAAUCAAUCCUUGAGGUUUUGCUCCUAUGAACCUAAUUGUGAACAAAACUCACAGCUUCUGCAAAUAAAAACAGGCAUACAUGUAACUGGCAAUCCAUUCUGUUUACUUUCAGCUGCACCUACCUCUGGAUCAAAGAACUUCUAGGACAUCAAGCCAAUUAUCUUCUGUAAUACCCUACCCCAAUAUAGAUACCCCCAACUCACCUCAGAUAUUAAAUACUGAUAACUAAGUAGCACUGUUAUAGAUAUUUACACCUUUCAAUCCAGAUGCAGUUUAGAAAAGUGGCAUCAUAAUAUGAACAUUAACAAAGUAACUUCCAUUUAUUUUUUAAAGGAAGAAACAUGUAUCUCCUUUAUAUCAUUCUAAUCUUUAUAAAAUAUAUAUUUUUUAUUUAUAUAUCUUUGGAUUCAGCAAAAAAAAAAAAAAAAAGUAGGUACUGGAAAUAUCCCACAUUCUAAAAGCAGAUGAAAAGAUUAUACUGUUCACCCAACAGAUACCAAGGUCUGAAAAAAUGGGGGGUGCUGGGGUGUGAGGAGAGGUAGACAGCAGGAGUACAAAGAAUUAUCUUAAAAAGAUAAAGGGCAAUACAGGUAAAAACAAAUUAUCUCAAAGACUGCACCUAUUAAAAGAAAAUCAAAAUCUUGAGUUUGCACCAAAUGAACAAGUAGAAAAUAUAAAAACUUAUAAUAAACUUCAUUUUUCUACCAUAUAAAAAAGGGAGUGCUGCCUUCCAGUUAGCCUGCAGCCAGGUCUGAGGAAAGGAUUGCAAAAAAAUUUAUUAUUUUUUUAAAUAAUUUUUUAAAGUCAAGAAAGGUAAGAGCACCAUUCUGUUUCUCCCCACACACAUCACUUGAAGGUUCAGACACAAUUGAGCUGAAAAACACAGAGACAGACUGACUUGGUUGUGCCUCUGUCUCCAAACAGGAGAGUAGACGAUCUGAAAAGCACAGGCCACUACAAUGGAAGUUUUCAGAUUUACAAUCUUAAGAUAUAUUUUGAAGUUGGUGGGGGGAAGAGGGCAAACUCAUAAUUGUCUAUACUGCUUUGAAAAUAAGAUCCACUCUAGUGGUGGAUCUGGAAAUAAUCAGGAUUCACUUGUAAGCAUAUCAAAGAUAUUAAAUGAUCUUACCUUCAGAGACAUCUAGAAAGACUAAAUGUGUGAAAUUCUUAAAAUUAACUGGCUCUCAGUUAUUGCUAGAAAAUGACACCAAGGCUAGCAGAGACCUCUGAAAUUCACAGACAUUCAGAAACCCAAUUCCUUCAACUAUCUGAACCAAAUGAAGUAACCCAGAUAAAGGGAAUUAAACUUCAUGUUUCCCUUCCUCCCAACUGACUGAAACAGGUGUCAAAGAGAGGCAACAGCAGAAAGUGGCAGGGGGCAAAAGAGGGAGGGGUUUCAAAGGUGCUCAGUUAGACUGUGGCUCUGAAUCACAGUCAAACUGGCUGUGCUGGGUACUGAGUUCCUUAAGAAGUAACAGUGACACUAUUCUAUCCACAGGGACAUAAUGAAAGCAUCACAUUAGUAUCAUGAGGGGACAGCUGAGCAGACACCAGAAACCACACCAAGGAUUCUACUCGAGAUCUCAAUGUGGGAUUCGGGUCUUAGCAACCAAAAUCUGAAAACGCUCCUAAAGGGGAUGAAAAGCCAUUUGGACAUCCAUGACAGUUCCUGGAGGUGAAGUAUUACAGGACAUGAACGGCAAAUGAAAACCUUCAUUAGGAGAAAACCUAGGACAAAUAAUAGGGACAGAGCAACUCAACACCAUCAGUAAAGGACAAUUCAGAAUCACCAAUUCCACUGGACAGAGGGUCAACACAGAACUACUUGGUAGUGACAAAAACACCUGAGGGCUGGGACUAUGCUCUUUGUCCAAUACUGCAACUAGAGAAACCAGAUGUUCUAAUCUCUCUCGAUUCGUCCAAUGUUCUCUGGCCCACCUAUGUAUAUUUAAGAGACUUUGGCUAGCAAGGCAGAAAAAAGUGACACAAAAGUUUUAUGAUCAGUAGCAUGCCAUAUCUCCAGAAUUAUAUCCCUAGGAGGUGGAAUGCCAAAAAAUAUUUCUGUUUUGAACGCCAUGAUACACAGCAGGAGGGGAGGAAAAAAACAGGUAGAUACUGCCCUUUGGCUUAAAAUCCAGUCCUGCUCAAAUGACAUCACUUAAAAUACCCUUGACGGAGCUCAAAGCUGGUCCUUUCUUCAAAGAUAGAUGCCUGGAACAAUGAUUCCUCCCCAAUAAUCCUAGUGCAGUGUCAUUUGUACAGUGGUUUCCUUAAGAGGUCCUGGUGCAGAGAUGUCAGCAGUAUUUCUGUUAGCAACCAGAAAAACUGAGUAAAACACAUGCUUUACACAACAAAAAAAACCCAUGCCCACAUUCAUGGCUUACAGUGCAGCUCUGGCUGAGUGAUUCAGAUUCCUGAGAUCCCAUCUUACAAUGCAGCUUGGCUUACCAAAGUAUCCAGUGGCCCAAUGCCUUCAAACCAUCCAAUGGCCCAAUGCCUUCAAACCAAGUUUUUUCAAUUACUGUAUUUUAAGUUAUACAUUCAAGUUAAAAUAUACCUAGGACAUUCUGAUUAUAGCUGACGCUUUAGUUCUAUCCAGAGAACAAGAAAAACUUUUUGAAAAAGGUAAGGAAUCGAUUUCAUACCUGAUCAGGGCCCAUAGGCAUGCCAGACAUGGGCAUGGGGUUCAUGUUCAUCUGUCCCAUGUGACCACUGCUGCCAUUCAUGUGCACCAUACUAUACACUGCAGGAUUCCCCUGGUGGGCAAACUGCUGCUGGGAAAAGGAGCUGUAAGUAAAGAAACGGUAAUAUUACCUCUGGAAGUCACUUUAGCGACACAGUAAACUACUACAAUUGUGUCAAAUAUUGCUAUACUUAAGCUGGGAAUGUCAGAGAGAAAACUCCCUGACAGCCUGUGAUUCAUUUUUCACAGCUUUCUGUACUAGAUACCCUAAUAGAUAAUGUGCAUGCUUGAAGAACUCUCAAAAUGGACAAGCCAAAUAACACACCUUCUAAUAUGAACCCAGUCCUUUGAAUCUCUCCAUACAAAAAGGCGUGACUGAAAAUUACAGGAAGGUCUUGGACUUCUGGGACUAAGAUGUGACUAACUUUAGAAGUCACUGUUCUUUACCUGUUCCUGGCCAAAUUUCCUGAUGGCCAGCCCUUCAUUUCUGAGGACUGAUAGAUGGAUGCAGCCUGGGGGUGUUGCAUCAUGGGAUUCUGGGAGGGACCCAUUCUUGACGAUAUCAUUGCACUGGGAGGACUAGACACUCGACCAAAGGCUGGAUCUGGUUGUUGUCCCAUUCCUUACAAAAAUAAAACAGAAGAAAUAAAAAUGCCCAAAUGCCUUCUCCUUAGAA
RNA transcript from Rhinopithecus roxellana (golden snub-nosed monkey), 8013 nucleotides. It is a transcript of the gene named sulfatase 2, with no coding region annotated. The record is from RefSeq and is a predicted model, not a curated record. Lineage: Eukaryota; Metazoa; Chordata; Mammalia; Primates; Cercopithecidae. The transcript is spliced from 22 exons.